This 255-nucleotide ribosomal RNA is filed under the name uncultured bacterium. RNAcentral's name for it is "partial 16S ribosomal RNA". It matches the Rfam family "Bacterial small subunit ribosomal RNA", at positions 208 to 456 of the family's 1533-position model. The record is from RNAcentral.
ACCUUCGGGCCUUGCGCUAUCAGAUGAGCCUAGGUCGGAUUAGCUAGUUGGUGAGGUAAUGGCUCACCAAGGCGACGAUCCGUAACUGGUCUGAGAGGAUGAUCAGUCACACUGGAACUGAGACACGGUCCAGACUCCUACGGGAGGCAGCAGUGGGGAAUAUUGGACAAUGGGCGAAAGCCUGAUCCAGCCAAGCCGCGUGUGUGAAGAAGGUCUUCGGAUUUAAAGCAAAUGAGAGUUGGGAGGAAGGGCAGU